Molecule: ribosomal RNA, 783 nt
Filed under: Triticum aestivum (bread wheat)
Lineage: Eukaryota; Viridiplantae; Streptophyta; Magnoliopsida; Poales; Poaceae
Description: partial small subunit ribosomal RNA
Source: RNAcentral
AUGGAUUUCCGAGAUAUACACUGCUUCAAUCUGGCUUUGUUACCCAAACAAGCGUGGCGUCUGAUUGAUAACCCUGGGUCUUUAUGUGCUAGUAUCUUGAAAGCAAAAUAUUUUUCGGAGGGGGAUCUAAUGAAUGCAAGUUUAAAAAAGGGGUCCUCCUUUACUUGGCAAAGUAUUAUGGCAGAUGUAAAUUCUCUAAAAAAUGGUUAUUUUUGGCGAGUUGGAAAUGGACAGAAUAUUGAUAUUUGAAAAGACGCUUAGAUCCCAAAUUGUGCUAAUAUGAAGAUUAUCACUCCUAGAAGGGGACAACUUCUAUCAAAGGUGUGUGGCCUUAUUGACCCAAUCACGAAUUCAUGGGAUGAAGAUUCGGUGAGACAGACGUUAUGGCCAAUUGAUGCACAAAGGGUGCUCGCAAUUCCACUUCCCAUGUAUAAUAUGCUGGAUUUCAUUGCUUGGAGCUAUACAAAAAAUGGCAUGUUCACUGUUCGUUCUGCAUAUUUGGAAGAGUGGAACAACCAACAUGGGAAAAAGUUGCAACAUGUAAAUGGGAUGGGUAGAACCAAUGUCAAUCCUAUUUGGGAAAAGAUUUGGAAAUUAUCAUGUCCGGCAAAGGUAAAAAUCUUUAUCUGGUGUACUCUACAUGAAACCCUCCCAUGUCAAGUUACACUUGCUAAUAGACACUUGAAGGUUACACCCAUCUGCCCGUCAUGCUCGAAUGCUCCAGGAGAUAAAAAACACGUCUUGUUCCCAUGUCGGAAGGUGAAAGAAGUAUGGGGAAACUAG